RNAcentral lists this long non-coding RNA (164 nucleotides) under Rhipicephalus microplus (southern cattle tick). Its description in RNAcentral is "uncharacterized LOC119173500". Lineage: Eukaryota; Metazoa; Arthropoda; Arachnida; Ixodida; Ixodidae. The record is from RNAcentral.
UGCCUUCGAACGAAGUCUUCGUAAUCCACGUUCAGCCAUCAAGAUGAACCACUUUCUUGGGAUGGACCUCCUUGUGGCAGUAGCCAUCGCCAUCGCUGUUAUCAUCAUGGCCCCGCACGAAGCCGCCGCGGGUGCAGGAGGAGCAUCCUCGCAAAUCGGUGGCC